UACGUAGGGGGCAAGCGUUGUCCGGAAUCAUUGGGCGUAAAGCGCGUGUAGGCGGCUGAGUAAGUCUGCUCUGAAAGCCCGGGGCUCAACCCCGGGAGGCGGGUGGAUACUGCUCAGCUCGAGUCCGGAAGAGGAGUGUGGAAUUCCCGGUGUAGCGGUGAAAUGCGCAGAUAUCGGGAAGAACACCCGUGGCGAAGGCGGCACUCUGGGACGGUACUGACGCUGAGACGCGAAAGCGUGGGGAGCAAACAGG
This 253-nucleotide ribosomal RNA is filed under the name uncultured bacterium. RNAcentral's name for it is "partial 16S ribosomal RNA". It matches the Rfam family "Bacterial small subunit ribosomal RNA", at positions 524 to 776 of the family's 1533-position model. The record is from RNAcentral.